Molecule: long non-coding RNA, 2041 nt
Organism: Rhopalosiphum padi (bird cherry-oat aphid)
Lineage: Eukaryota; Metazoa; Arthropoda; Insecta; Hemiptera; Aphididae
Exons: 5
Source: RefSeq, a predicted model, not a curated record
UUGUCGGGUAAGUGUAGUACUACUUGUCACAGUUACGCGUGCGACGUGUACAAACGACCCAUGUUUCGAUCGAGCUCGGUGUGGUAGAACGUUGAACAUAUUUUCUGCAUACACAAAAAUAUCAUUUUGAAAGGCGAUACCCAGGGUAUUAUGACCAGCCAAAAUUGUAAUGGACAACACAAAAACCUCAUGAAUAUUAUUAUUUACCCUCGUCGUGUGUAUUCGAGAAUCGAACAAACGGUCGGAACUCAGUUCACCCGCUGCUAGUCACGGAAGAAUUAAUAAGAAUGGUUACUUUCCUUAAAUAUGUAUCGAUCAAACGUCAAAGUAUAUGGAGGACUAUGGUAGUGGAUAUAUAUUAGGAGAUUUUACGCCGUUUCCGUGGAUCUAUGACCUUAUCUUUAUUUUCUAUGCAGUGAAAAAUCGUUAAACUUCAAUGCCAUCGAUGGACGAUGACACACCAUUACGAGGAGAUACCUAUACUAUAGAUAUAAGUGAUAUAACCCCAGACGGGUUGGAAAACCGACGAGAAAGCUGAGACGGAUCGCGGAGUUGACUUUUUUUUUGAAAAGCCCGCGUUUCCAUGUACGUAUCACAGACGGCUGUAGCAUUACAGUCUCGGACCGAGCGAUGCGGUGAGGCUGCAGGGGUCAAGGGCAGCACGUAUACGAGCGCAUAAAAAGGGUCCGCGUCUCGGUCGUCGCCGUCGUACUUUGAUUCAAUGGAAUUCGACAUGAACAUUGUUCUAAUGUACAAUGGAACGAGGGGCAAUUUCCGUGGAGUCAACCGAGCGAUAAGAGACAAUUGACACAAGUGUAUCGGAUGUUAUAUUCAAGGUUGUGAGCUACUUAAUUGCAUUUUGACGUCGAGUUAUUAAAAACAAAUUUGGACUAACUUAUUACACUGCUUGUGUUAUAAUAAUAAUAAUUAUUAAAAAAAAAAAUGAAAUAUUUUUUUGACUUACGAACCAUUUUAUAAUCAUCAUCUCACCUUGCAGGUAACGUUCAUCUUGGAUGAUGUAAACGUCGUCGUUAUUCGUCUAAUACGAAGGUAUUAACAUUCCUUAUUUUUUUUUUUUAUGGUAGAAUGGUAGACUUCUUAGUUUAGGUACAAUAUACGUAUAUUGUAACAAAAGAUGUUUUUUCGUCAGAUGUAUUCUUUUCGGCUCGCUAUAUUAUAGUGCAUUUGAAUACGGCUCAGUGGAAUUUCAUGUUCAGUAACUUAUUUGAAACGGUUUAACAUAUGUUUAAUAAAUAAGAAAUAUCUUCUUUUACUCGACUUUAAAAAAAAAAAAUACAGAUACAAUGUAAUAUUAUUAUGUUUUAAUAAAUAUUUACAAUUAAGUAUAAGUAUAAAAUAAUGGUAUUAUAUUCAAUUAUUGAAUUAUUGAAGUAUCCUUACAAUAAUCGUUGGUAAAAUUAAUAUUUUUGUGAAUACAUUUUUCGAAUAUUUAUAUUAUUUUUCAUGUAGGUAUUAUAAUAUUAUUAUCUCAUAUAGUCAUAUCCACUAAAAAUGUUGGUAGGAAACCAUAAAGUUUAUGAUUUAAUGGAUUUAACACUUGAAUAGUCUUUGUUGUGCCGUAUUGUAUUGUUCAUUUCAGUGUUCGGGACUAUUUUUGGAGAAAAGAUAAAUCUUGUGCGUUUAUUUUUCUUCCACAACAGUGACUGUCAAUCGUAAUCAAUUAUGAAAUGUUUUUGUACUGUACAUCUAUUCUAUUGGGAUUAGGUGUACAUUUCGUGGGCAUGUCAACCCUAAAUACGGGUUCUAUAUAAUGCACAGUGAAUUGUGACAUCGAAGACCCGCACGGUAUGUCUGGAACAUCUGUCCAAUAAUUUUGAAUUCCUACAGAAUAUUAUUAUUCAAAUAGAUUUUAGACACAUCCGCCAGGAGAUUAAUUACCACCAUCGUUUAACUUAUACAGUUAUACACUUUAGCAGUGUUAUUUAAUGAGACUAGAACGAAUUUUUAACAUAAGAUGUAGGUAUUUACUUUAAAAAUAAUUUAUUGUUAAAAGAAAAAGAUAUGUAUUCAAAAAAUAAUA